RNAcentral lists this ribosomal RNA (253 nucleotides) under uncultured bacterium. RNAcentral's name for it is "partial 16S ribosomal RNA". It matches the Rfam family "Bacterial small subunit ribosomal RNA", at positions 524 to 776 of the family's 1533-position model. The record is from RNAcentral.
UACGAAAGGGGCUAGCGUUGUUCGGAAUUACUGGGCGUAAAGCGCACGUAGGCGGCUUUCCAAGUUGGGGGUGAAAUCCCGGGGCUCAACCCCGGAACUGCCUCCAAAACUGGAUUGCUUGAGGCCGUGAGAGGAGAGUGGAAUUCCGAGUGUAGAGGUGAAAUUCGUAGAUAUUCGGAAGAACACCAGUGGCGAAGGCGGCUCACUGGCGCAUUUCUGACGCUGAGGUGCGAAAGCGUGGGGAGCAAACAGG